CAGGAUCCUGAGUACGGCGGAACACGUGAAAUUCCGUCGGAAUCCGGGAGGACCAUCUCCCAAGGCUAAAUACUCCCUAGUGACCGAUAGUGAACCAGUACCGUGAGGGAAAGGUGAAAAGCACCCCGGAAGGGGAGUGAAACAGUUCCUGAAACCGUGUGCCUACAAUUAGUCAAAGCCCGUUAACGGGUAAUGGCGUGCCUUUUGUAGAAUGAACCGGCGAGUUACGUUUGCCUGCGAGGUUAAGAUGAAAAGUCGGAGCCGGAGCGAAAGCGAGUCUGAACAGGGCGCUUCAGUAGGUAGAUGUAGACCCGAAACCAAGUGACCUACCCAUGACCAGGUUGAAGGUGUGGUGAAACACACUGGAGGACCGAACCCAUGUAUGUUGAAAAAUGCUGGGAUGAGUUGUGGGUAGCGGUGAAAUUCCAAACGAACUUGGAGAUAGCUGGUUCUCUCCGAAAUAGCUUUAGGGUUAGCCUCGGAGGAUGGAUCAUGGAGGUAGAGCACUGUUUGAACUAGGGGCCCGUCAAGGGUUACUGAAUUCAGAUAAACUCCGAAUACCAUUGAUCUUACUCCGGGAGUCAGACAGUGAGCGAUAAGGUCCAUUGUCGAAAGGGGAACAGCCCAGAUCACCAGUUAAGGUCCCUAAAUUUAUGCUAAGUGGAAAAGGAUGUGGCGUUGCACAGACAACUAGGAUGUUGGCUCAGAAGCAGCCACCAUUUAAAGAGUGCGUAAUAGCUCACUAGUCGAGUGGCACUGCGCCGAAAAUAUACCGGGGCUAAGCAUAAUACCGAAACUGUGGGUGCACCCGUCAGGGUGCGCGGUAGGAGAGCGUUCUAAGGGCGUUGAAGGUCGAUCGUGAGGACGGCUGGAGCGCUUAGAAGUGAGAAUGCCGGCAUGAGUAGCGAAAGAUCAGUGAGAAUCUGAUCCACCGUAUGACUAAGGUUUCCUGGGGAAGGCUCGUCCUCCCAGGGUUAGUCGGGAUCUAAGGCGAGGCCGCAAGGCGUAGUCGAUGACAAGCAGGUUGAGAUUCCUGCACUAGUUUAUUUUGUUUAAGCGAUGGAGGGACGCAGGAGGCUAAGGAAAGCGCACGGCUGGAAAAGUGCGUCCAAGCAGUAAGUCCGGUAGCGAGUGAAAUGCUUGCCGCCUUAAGGACAAGCUGUGAUGGGGAGCGAAAUUAAAGUAGCGAAGUUCCUGAUGUCACACUGCCAAGAAAAGCUUCUAGUGAGAAAUAAACUACCCGUACCGCAAACCGACACAGGUAGUCGAGGAGAGUAUCCUCAGGUGAGCGAGCGAACUCUCGUUAAGGAACUCGGCAAAAUGACCCCGUAACUUCGGAAGAAGGGGUGCUGACCGCAAGGUCAGCCGCAGUGAAUAGGCCCAAACAACUGUUUAUCAAAAACACAGGUCUCUGCUAAAUCGUAAGAUGAUGUAUAGGGGCUGACGCCUGCCCGGUGCUGGAAGGUUAAGAGGAUGAGUUAGCGCAAGCGAAGCCCAGAAUUGAAGCCCCAGUAAACGGCGGCCGUAACUAUAACGGUCCUAAGGUAGCGAAAUUCCUUGUCGGGUAAGUUCCGACCCGCACGAAAGGCGUAAUGAUUUGGGCACUGUCUCAACGAGAGACUCGGUGAAAUUAUAGUACCCGUGAAGAUGCGGGUUACCCGCGACAGGACGGAAAGACCCCAUGGAGCUUUACUGUAGCUUGAUAUUGAGUGUUGGUACCGCUUGUACAGGAUAGGUAGGAGCCGUAGAGAUCGGAACGCUAGUUUCGAUGGAGGCAUUGGUGGGAUACUACCCUAGCUGUAUGAACACUCUAACCCGCGCCACU
Molecule: ribosomal RNA, 1825 nt
Filed under: Lacticaseibacillus rhamnosus
Lineage: Bacteria; Bacillati; Bacillota; Bacilli; Lactobacillales; Lactobacillaceae
Description: partial 23S ribosomal RNA
Rfam family: Bacterial large subunit ribosomal RNA
Source: RNAcentral